This 446-nucleotide ribosomal RNA is filed under the name uncultured bacterium. Its description in RNAcentral is "partial 16S ribosomal RNA". It matches the Rfam family "Bacterial small subunit ribosomal RNA", at positions 338 to 795 of the family's 1533-position model. The record is from RNAcentral.
CCUACGGGAGGCAGCAGUCGAGAAUCAUUCACAAUGGGGGAAACCCUGAUGGUGCGACGCCGCGUGGGGGAAUGAAGGUCUUCGGAUUGUAAACCCCUGUCAUGUGGGAGCAAAUUAAAAAGAUAGUACCACAAGGGGAAGAGACGGCUAACUCUGUGCCAGCAGCCGCGGUAAUACAGAGGUCUCAAGCGUUGUUCGGAAUCACUGGGCGGAAAGCGUGCGUAGGCUGUUUCGUAAGUCGUGUGUGAAAGGCGCGGGCUCAACCCGCGGACGGCACAUGAUACUGCGAGACUCGAGUAAUGGAGGGGGAACCGGAAUUCUCGGUGUAGCAGUGAAAUGCGUAGAUAUCGAGAGGAACACUCGUGGCGAAGGCGGGUUCCUGGACAUUAACUGACGCUGAGGCACGAAGGCCAGGGGAGCGAAAGGGAUUAGAUACCCGUGUAGUC